AAAAAGAAAGAAGGAAAAAUGAAUUCAGCUUUUUUUUUUUAAAGGAUUUUUUUUUCUUUCGAGUUCUCUCUGCUCCCAUGUUGGGUUUCAGAAGUGCUUGACCCAUAAUGAAUUCUAGUAACAAGAUAGUUUGUUUCUUCCCAAGAUUUAGCUUCCCUCAGACUUCCCAAGCAUGGUCAAGCCACGGAGAUUCAUUGUUUCAAUAGUCGCCUUCUAUAUCUUGCAUUAUUUUGAAUGUAGAUUUGAAAAUAUGUCACAGGGCUCAAUGUGGCUUCUUUUCCAGCAUGAUUUUCUUGCAUUUCCUGUCGUGGAGGAGGCCCAUGAGGAGGCUCCCCCGGGUGGACUCUCGAUGAAUCGCACGUUACAGUGGUCAGCUUCGUGGCACAGGCUCCCACGUCGAGAGCGUUUGCAGGGCCGUCCUCUGAAACGGAGGCGCGCGGGGCUCCCUGUGGUGCCUACCUGCUUGUGCCGCUGAAAUGGUCCCCCCUGGAUCCUUGUGGAGAGCGGCCAUCCCUCGGUGCAGGGCUUGUCUGCUGCCCUUGCCUCCCUGUGUCACCUGGACUGCCCCACAGCCUCUGCCACAAUCAAGCCUUUCAGUCCCUCAGAAGCACGAGGGUUUAGAAAGUCUCGAUGUCAUUAAAACAACAAGCAGGUAGACCAGGCAGCCGGAGCGUGUCUGCCGCAGUCUGGGCUGUGAGCUGCCCCUCACCUGCCCCUCCUCCUGAGCCUGGGCUGCUCCAGAGAGAACAAAAAGCUCUCCUCAUGGAAAGUUUUACUAACCUGGCCCGGUGCCCAGGACUGAGGCCUUCCCUGCAGCUGAGGAUGAUUGAAAGGGUCUGUGCGCAGGAUCAAACACGGCGUCGUUAGCGUUGCAGACAUCGGCUACCGCGUGAUGGAUGGAGUGGUGAACUCAGCCAUGCGAAUCAUUCAUUAGGGUCAGCGCUUGGUGCCCUGGGACUGCAGUGUGGGGGUUUCGAGGCAUAAAACGCACACCGCACACCACCAGAGAUGGAGCCUGCUGUCGGCGGGGCAGGCCGGGCCGGGCCAGGCUGCAGGAACGGGUUCUCCAAGGCCACCGGAGAGGCUCUCCCCGAUGCCAGGAGCCCUCCAGCCCCAGGCCCAGAGCUGUUCCCCAGGGAGCAGGCCCUGUCACUGCCCGAGUGAGGUGGCCACGGGAGACCACGUCCAGACCCGUGCACCAUAACUGCCUGAGUGAGGUGGCCACGGGAGGCCGCAUCCAGAGCUGUGCACCCUGUGACCGCCCAAGUAAGGCUGAGUGAGGCGGCCACAGGAGGCCACGUCCAGACCCGUGCGCCCUGUGACUGCCCGAGUGAGGUGGCCACCGGAGGCCGUAUCCAGACCUGUGUAUCCUGUGACUGCCCAAGUAAGGCUGAGUGAGGCGGCCACAGGAGGCCACGUCCAGACCUGUGUGCCCAGUGAUUGCCCAAGUGAGGCUGAGUGAGGUGGCCACGGGAGGCCACAUCCAGACCUGUGUGCCUUGUGAUUGCCCAAUGAGGCUGAGUGAGGCGGCCACAGGAGGCCACGUCCAGACCUGUGUGCCCUGUGAUUGUCCAAGUGAGGCUGAGUGAGGUAGCCACAGGAGGCCACAUCCAGACCUGUGUGCCAGGCAGCAGCGCAUCAGGCCAAUGUGCAGAUGUUGACUCACACGAUUCUGUUUCUCUCUAGAAAACUAGCUCCCACUUGGUGACAACCAGCCACUGCCAGGGAGACCACGGCCAUGGGUGGGACAGGCGAGAGCGGGUGCACGCCUGCUACUAAGGGAGCUCGCAGCCCAUUGCUGGAGCACCCAGGGCAGCCGCAGAGGCGAGGCUCCCCCUUCAGGAAGGGCCGUGCAGGGGCAAGGAUGGUGCUGAGACGCACACCAAGCAAGGCUCUCUAAAAAUAGGGGCUGCAUCUCCCACCCUGACUCGCAGGCUGUGAGGCCUCAGUGGCCCGUCCCUCCCUGAGGUGAGGGGGAGGGAGGAGAGGCACCCACUCCUGUGUGCCACCCACGGGCUGCUGCUCGGGGUCUGUGAGGUUCUGGGUGCUUUUUCUGGUUGCCUGAAGACAUUCAGUGUGGACCUCAAUGGUUUGAAUUCUACGCCAUUUCUCAUUGAAAUAUCCGUCUAUGGUCCAAUUCUGUGUACUUGAAAGGGAAUUCGGUGGGAUCAUUUUCAGCUAUUGACCUUCAGCCUUUGACUCCUUAAAAGUGGGUCUUAGCUUGUUCCCAGCAUCAGGUGGAGACUGUCUGAAAUCGGGCACCAGAGGGAGGGCCACAGGGUUGCAGCGGAAGCAGCAGGAGGGAAGAUUUCAUGGAGCUCGGGUGAUGAGCACUAUUCAGAUCUAACUCAUGCCAAAGAAAAUUCACGGCCUGUGGCAGCAGACAGAGAGCAGGCCUUGACAUUCAGCCGCCAGUGCGCGUCUGGGCAGCGUGGGGCGUGUUUGCGACGUGUUUGUCAUUUUGCGUAGGCAAGCUGUGAGCAACAGUAAGGCAUUCGUGAGUGUGUCAUUGUUAAUGCUGGCAUUUUUCUUGUGUAGAUACACUCUGUUUUCUUCCCACAAAUGGGUUCAAAUCUGUACAGAAACAUUUAAAAUGGCAUCGGCUCCGUUUCAAAUCAAGUCGCCUUGCCUCUUCCCACUGCCGUGCGUUUUCUCUUCCCGAUGUAUAAACGUUUCAAAGAGCUUCCUUAUUUAAGCAUGCACACUCUUCACAGACACUUUCAGAUUGGAGCCAGCGCAUCACACUGCUGUGCUGUAUCUCCAGAGCAUGCAGCCACAAGCGAGGUGUUUAAAAGCAUUGUAGCCACAUUCAGUGCCCAGCAGCUGACAGCCCGUCAGACGGAGGGAGGCGGCCAGGGCAGCAGAGGGCUCUGCCUACAUCUGUCAGACGACCGUGUUGCCACCGCAGCCAGGGCCCAGAACCUCGUGCUGCGCACCUGCCUCUCCCUGGCGCUCGAGCUUGGGCACGGUCAGGUGAUUUUCCUGAUACAGAAGUGUGUUUCUGCACGUGGAUUCCUGAGGAGCGGUGAGUAACUGACGCACACGUCCCACCAAGCCCAGGUCUCAAAAGAUAGGACAGUGCGAACCAUAGUGUCACCUCUGUCACGUAGUGUUACCUUCUGUCACGUGAUGUCAUCUCUGUCAGUGCCACGAGAGUCAUUCCCGCUGUCAGCCUUGAAAGCGAACAGGAGACCCAAAUGGCAGCAUCAGAUUGGUCCUGAUGUGCAGCUUCGUAUGUUCCAGCUGACCUGUUAGAUCUUCUGUGCAUGUUCAACUGCAGAACGGCGCUGCGGGCGGGCAGAACUGCCGGUACUCACCCUCCACCCGGGGGAAACCAAGGCGCAGAGAGACGCCGCUGGAUUUGCUCUGAGUCAGUCGAGGCAGAAUCAGGAGCGCCCCAGCGUCAGCCCCAGUGCCCACAUGCUGUCAAAGGUCCCAGCUCUACCACUGAGUAUUUUUUUCCCACUAGAGAUGAGAUGAGCACAGAUUUCUGCUGAGAACUCCUAACACCCGAGUCUGAGUUGGCCUUGCAAGCCAGAGAGGAGAUGGUAUCUGUUUUUCGCUGAAGAGUUUCCAUCAGCUGAGGCAUAUUUCACGGAGAAGGACUGGAGAGAAGCAGGCCUUCUGAACUGCCGGAGAGCGUCUUGAAUCAGCUCUCGCCAAAACGCGGCAAGAACAUGGCAACACUGUCAAAUCAACUGAGAGGACAGAACAGCUGCGGACACGUUCACUCAAGGAGAAGCAAGCAGCCCAGGAGGACGAGCCAGACUGUGGUGUUUUCACUUGGGCCCGCCCCACCCCUGCUCCAGCCCCGGGGCACACCGCCGUGGAAAGCCAGUGAUGCCACAGACUGCGGAGGAGCCGGGCUCUGUUGAAAACCCCAUCCCCGGAUACGGUCAGCGUUUGGACGGUCAUGGAGCUCCCUGGAAAAGCUCCGUUCCCAGGCGCAGUCACCGCUGGCUGUAGUCGUGACUGUGGGAGCUGCCCCAACCAGUGAUCACGAUUGGAGCAGACGAGCCUGGCCAGACCAGGGCACUGGGGACUUUGACAAACCUGAACGUUCCCAGGGACCUGGAGGACGGCACCUAUGAACAUGGACGUGUGAAUGCUCGAAAAAGAGAGGCCCCGGCCACGCCCCUCCGGCUGGUCUCCAAACCGCAGCAAGCAGAAGUGAGAGCUAAAGCUGCCUGUGGCUGGGAGGCAGGUCCUGGCACGCGGGUUUCGGGAUUAGAGGAAGGAGACUCGCUUCGUGGCUCCGGGAUUUAGGGAAACCUCCUGCUGGUAACAGCUAGCGAUUAAACUCUGCUAACCUGAGAGUGAUCCCUAGGCAGCCUGGUUUCAAGACAGAAAGAAGAUUUAAAAAGAGAGAGAACAGAAAACACAGUGUCCACAUACUGCAAGGAAUACAGCAUCUAGAUAAUUUGUCCAGGAAAGGCAUGAAUCACAUAAGCAACAACCAGGGAGAGGGAGAAGCUGGGAAACGGUCCUCCUGGGAGGGGCGGGCGGGGGCAGGAAUCUCAGUCCAGAGUCGCCAACCUGCCACCUCCAGUUAUAAACCAAAACCCACAAUUCAUGCAAAGAAACAUGAAGACAUGUCCCAUCCACAGGAAGAAAAUCCUGUAGCCCCUGAGAGAGCUUGAGUAUUAGACUAGCAAAGGCUUUAAAUCAGCUGAACAAAGAUACACAAAGAACUAAAAGAAACUGCAUUUAAAGAAUUACAGGGAAGUGUGGCAAAUAUAUCUCACCAGAUAGAGAAUACCAAUAAUGAGAUAGAAAUAUUUUUUUAAAAAGAGCCAAAUAGAAAUUAAAGGGUUGAAAAAUAUAAGAACUGAAAUGAAAAAUGUAUGAGAGAGGCUGGAUAACAGAUUUGAGCUGGCAGAGAAGAAGAAUCAACAAAAUUUAAAAAUCAAGAGGUUAUUUAGACUAAGGAACAGAAAGAAGAAAGAAUCAAUAAAAAUGAACACAGCCUCAGAGCAUGUGGGACACCAUAAACACAUAAACGGAUGCAUAAUGAGAGUUAUAGAAAGAGAGAGAGCAUCAUUCACUGCAGCCAAAACGCCCACAAAAUUCAAAUGGGAUAAAUUAAAAGCAGUUCAUAGACACAUAACCACACUGUUGAAAAUCAGAGAGAAACAGUCCUGAAAGCAGUAAGAGAAAGGCAGCUUCUCAGUAAGUGGGAUGCUCAGUAUUAGUAGCCAGCUUUUCAUUCCGAAUCAUGGAUGUCAGAGGACGGUGGAAUGGCCUAGUUAAAAUGCUGAAAGAAAGCAACUGUCAACCAAGAACUCCAUAUCCAGUAAAACUCACCUCUAGAGAUAACUAAACCUGUGCUCAGAUAAACAAGACAUGCAGAAUUUGUUGCCGGUAGACCUGCCUUGCAGGAAGUAUGAAAGGGAGUCCUUCAGGCUGAGGCAAAAGGCGCCGCUGAGAGUAAUUACAUAGAUAAAUUAAAAAGACAGUACAGACAUGUUUUAAACUUUUCUUCUCUGAGCUGAUUUAAAAGGAAACUGCAUAAGACACAGUUGCAAACCUGUGCCAAUAACACUGUGCUUAUAACAGUUUGUAUGACAGUGGCAUGAAGGAAGGGGUGGGGAAGGAAGUUAUAGCAGUUAUAGCAAAGCAAAGUUUUUGCAUAUUAUUAGAACUCAGUGUUAAUCUGAAAUAGACUGUUUUGAGUCAGAUGCUUAUUGCAAUUGCUAGAGGAACCAUUAAGAAAAGAACAUCUGUGUAUUUGAGUGUCUCACAUACACACACACACACACAAACGAACAAAAUGCCAAAAAAUGCAUUUAAAUGAUAUACUAGAAAAUAUAUGUGUAACACAAAGGAAGCCAGUAAUGAAGGAACAUAGAAAAAAUGACAAAGGCAAAAAUUACACAAGACAGGUGGAAAACAAAUAGCAAAAUGGAAGGCAUACACCCCACCAUAUCAAUAAUCACAUUAAAUGCAAAUAGAGUAAACUCACCAAUAGGAAGGUAGAAGUUGUCAAACUGGAUUUUAAAAUCAGAAUGAAACAGGAUACAACUAUAUGGGUGUCUAAAAAAUACGUACUUUAAAGACUCAAAUAGGUUGAAAGUAAAUGAAAAAGGUAUUGUACAAAUAGUCAUCAAAAGAGACAUGGAGAAAACGGAAAAGUACAUACUUCAGAUUUAAAGACACAGGUUGGAAGUAAAGUGAUGAAAAAGAUAUGUGGAGUAGCUAUACUAAUAUCACACAAAGUAAACCCAGACAAAAAUAUGACCGGAGCAAUGACGCAUCCAUGGUAAUAUUCCCUUUUAGCAUUAUAAAACUGAUACAUCCAUGGUAAUGCCCCCUUUUAUCAUUACAAAACUGAUAUGUUGAGCAGGAAGAUGUAACAAUUAUAAACACAUUUGCACGUAACACGGCCCCAUAAUACGGGAAACAAGAACUGGCAGGAUUAAAGGGAGAAAUAUAUCGUUAGAAAACGAUAGCUGGAGACUUUAAUAUAUCACUCUUUAUGGAUAGAACAACUAGGCAGAAAAUCAAAAGGAUAUGAAACACUUAAGACUAUCAUCAGCCAACUUUACCAGACAUCUACAGGACACUCUACACAGUGGAGUGCACAUAGAAUAUUCUCCAGGAUAGACUUCCUACUAUGCCAUAAAACAAGCCUUAAUAAAUUCCCAAAAUAUUCUGAUCACAAUGGAUUUCAACUGAAAAUCCACAAUAGAAAUUACCACAAGUAUUUGGCAACUAAACAACACAUGUCUGAAUAAUUAAUUAGUGAACUUAGAAAGUGUAAGCGAAAUUGGAAAUUAUCCUGAACUAAAUGCAAAUGAAAAUACAACAUAUCAAAAUUUGUGCGAUGCAGGUAAGUACUUAGAGGGAAAUGUAUAGCUUUAAAUGCCUACAUGAGGUGAUGGAUUUCAAAGCAAUAAUUUAAGAUUUUCCCUUAAAAAUGGUGACAAAGAAGAGAAAAUUAAACCCAAGGCAAAGGCAAUGAAAUAGAAAUGUGAGAAAAAUCAGUAAAACCAAAGUUAGUUAUUUGAAAGGAACAACAAAAUUGACAAAACUUUAAUGAGUUUUUCUAAUGAGAAAAGUUAGGAAUUAAAGAGGGGACAUUACUACUAACCCCUCAAAAUCAAAAGGUUAUAAGGGAGAACGAUAGAUAGCCUUAGGCCAACAGAUUAAACAACCCAGAUGAAAUGGAAACGUUCUUACACACGAAUUACCUGAACUGACUCAGGAAGAAAUAGAAAAGCAUAAUAGACCUAUAGCAGGGAAAUAAGAGAAAUUAAUAAUUUAACAUAUUCCCGCAAAGAAAAGCCCAGACCCAGAAAGCUUUACUGGUUAAUUUUCUCAAACAUUACAAGAGUAAUUCCAGUGCCAGUACUCAAACUCUUCAGGAAAUGAAGAAGGAACACUUCUAAUGCUGAGGCCAGUGUAGCCCUAAUACCAAAAUCAGAGGUAUCACUAGAAAGUAAACUGUAGAAAAAUAUCCUUUAUGAAUACAGGAGCAAAAAUCCACAACAAAUUAUCAAACUGAAUCCAACAACAUAAAAAAGAGAUUUUACACAUGACCAAGUGGGAUUUGUCCCAGUAAUGCAAGGUUAGUUUAACAUCAGAAAAUGAAGUCAUGAGAUGUAUCAUAUUAAUAGAAAAAGGACAGAAAUUACAUGAUCAUUUCAAUAAAUGCAAAAAAAAA
Sapajus apella (tufted capuchin) is the source of this 7663-nucleotide long non-coding RNA. RefSeq lists it as uncharacterized. NCBI's taxonomy places the organism in Eukaryota, Metazoa, Chordata, Mammalia, Primates, Cebidae. The record is from RefSeq and is a predicted model, not a curated record. The transcript is spliced from 2 exons.